AAGGCACUCAUGUUCUUCAACGCACAACGAUCCGGGCCGAUUCCAAAGCACAACAAUGUAAGUUGGAGGGGAAACUCGGGCAUGAAAGAUGGGAUCUCUGAUAAUGCAGUCCGGAAGAACUUGGUGGGAGGGUAUUACGAUGCCGGUGACGCCAUCAAGUUCAAUUUUCCUAUGUCCUUUGCGAUGACAAUGCUCAGCUGGAGUGUUAUCGAGUACAGUGCAAAAUAUGAGGCUGCUGGUGAGCUUGACCAUGUCAAGGAGACUAUCAAGUGGGGCACUGAUUAUCUCCUCAAGACCUUCAACUCCUCCGCUGAUACCAUCGACCGCAUCGCUGCUCAGGUUGGACUGGGAGAUACCUCAAAGGGACCAGGUCCAAAUGACCAUUACUGCUGGAUGAGGCCGGAGGAUAUCUAUU
RNAcentral lists this unclassified non-coding RNA (415 nucleotides) under Hevea brasiliensis (rubber tree). Lineage: Eukaryota; Viridiplantae; Streptophyta; Magnoliopsida; Malpighiales; Euphorbiaceae. The record is from RNAcentral.